This 2916-nucleotide long non-coding RNA is filed under the name Citrus x clementina. RNAcentral describes it as "Citrus clementina (C. clementina) long non-coding RNA (CCLE_LNC006029)". The record is from RNAcentral. Lineage: Eukaryota; Viridiplantae; Streptophyta; Magnoliopsida; Sapindales; Rutaceae.
AGUCCACAACAUUCAUUCUUCUUCUCUGCUGCUCUUUACGCUCCUACCCAAAUCUUAGGAUUCAAACCUUUGUUUAGGAGAGAAUCAAAAUGACGGGUAAGUUAUUCUCCCUAUUCUCAACGGAUUUCUAAUCACUCUAUCUAGGGUUUAUAUUGGCACGAUUCUAGAUGGUUAUAGAUCAUAAUGCAUGAUUUAAAAUGUUUUUGGGUUUUGUUUAGAGUUUUGAUUUAUUAUGAGUUUAGUUAAUCAAUCCUUGUCGUAUGAAGCACAGGAUAAUUCUGGAUAGCAUGAGUAUCUCGAAUUUAAACCUAUACUUUCUAAAUGAAUUUUCUUAUGAAAUUUAUAUUUCUGGAAACUAUACAUGUAGGGCUUCUUGAGUAAAUUUAUUUCAUUAAAUUCGACUUCGUUUUCAAAUUUAUAUGUAUUUUCGAAAUAGAAAUCACUGCACUGGAAAACUGUGAUUCCAGCAUUGCAAUCGGAUUCACAAGAUUAUUUGUACCACCAAAUGAACUCGGAAAAUUCUGAAAGUUUUAUAUGUAGGUUAAUAUAUGUGUCUAGGAUUCCCAAUUUUAAUUUCAUAAUUUCUGAUCAGUAUUGUAUUUUAUAAAAAUCACAUAACCCGUUCUGUUUGGUUUAGGUUAUGUGAAAAUAGUUUCGAAUUUGUUGAGAAUAAAUAGUUUUGAAAAUGUUUUUGAUAUCGGAUCCUCUUGCAAAUUUUACAUGGGGUACUCAUGGAUGUCCAGAAUAGAUUCAUAGAAUAUUAUAUCAUUCUGCGUUUUAGUUUAAGAGUUAAAAUUCUGAGAAUCAGACCUGUAUGGGUAUGAAUUAGAAAAUCAGAUUCUUAGAAUAAGUUAUUAAUUGUCAUAUCUUGAAUUUAUUUAAGGUGUUGAAGGUGAUCGAGGUCCUUAGAAGCUUAGAGGUGUGUUAAUUAAAAUUCAUUUGUCGAGGUAAGUAACUUCAUUCCUAGUAUACGGGAUAUGUAUAAGUAUUUUGAUAUUAUUAUUAUAAGUAUAAAUAUUUUUAUACUACUUAAAGGAUUAAUUGAUUUUGAUAAUAAAUGUUUUAAAGCUAAAUUCUUUUUAACAAAGUAUUUUAUAAAUGCUUUUGAGUAUGUAAGUUAUUUUGUUAUAUGCCUACUUUUAUGAUUUUAUUUAUAAAAUGUUAUGCAAGCCUAAAUUAUUGUUAUGAACUUUUUAUAAAUCUAAUACGAAUGCUUUGUACCCAUGUAUGAUUUCGAUUAUUGAUGAUUGUUUGGGAUUUCUAAUGUUUUGGCUCAUUGUCCAUAGUCAUUUUGAUUCUGAUUCUGAAUUCUGAUCGUAAUAUACGAUAUAUCUGUCUGGACCAGUACUGGGUUUCUGUUAUGAGUGUGCACAUGAUAUUCUGAUUUUGUUUCUGGCCGGGUCACCGGGACUAUAGGUGACACUAUGCAACAUGAGCUAACCUUUUGUUUUUUAUAUAAGUAUUAUAUGAUUUGCUUCGUAAGUAAAUAUGCUUUUGGAUAUUCUGAAUUAUUAAGAAUUUAUGUUAUGUUAUCAUGAUAUAUCGUUUUAUGAAAAUUAUGGAUUAUGAUAUAUGUUUUAAACAAAAGAAGGCUUGCAAUAUUUUUGGCAUCGAUAUGCCUAGUGUGUUAGGAAUGAUUUUACUUACUGAGUUGACGGCUCACCCCUCGUCAUUACUUUUUGCAGAUUAAGUUUCUUUUGAGAGGUGCGCUUGGCUUUGGAGUUAGUAAUAUUCCGUUUCUGUUUGCCAUUUGAAUAAGAGUAGGAAUAAACUCGUGUUUCUAUCUAGUUAUUUCUAUUAUGAACAUGUAAUUUGGAGUUUGAGACUUUUGUUAUUAUUUUUAUGUCCUCGGGAGAGAUUAUUUAGUAUUAGACGUUUGAAUUUGUGGAUUUAUUUUGAAUAAGAAUUGGAGGUAUUUCAGUUUGAAACUUAUGAGUAAAGAUUAUGAUUUGUGAGUAACCUCCUUCUUCACGUGCUCCGCACGUGUUAGAUUUGGGGUGUUACACCUCUAAAUCCUAAACUUUCUCAUUGAGAUCUGUAGAUUCAGUCAUCAUGUCAUCUAUAAGCACCUCUAUCAUAUUUCCAAUUAAGGGCAUAAAGAUCUUAUUCAUUAGCCUCUGGUUUGUUAUCCCAGUGUUUUUCAACCUAGAAAUCAUCACUUUGUAGCAAUACAACCUUAACUAAUGAUGCAAAAGGUCUUCUUUUUAUCUAGUUCGAACAAGGGAUAUUAUCUAGUUCAAUAGCUAAAACAAUGAUCAUGCACUAGAUAAAUCGAUUAUUAUGAAAGCCAUUUCAAGGAGGGUUCUCUUAUAACCCUGAAAAAGCAUCCAUGAAACUAAGGAGUCCAUGUUUUACUUUUGAAUCGAUCAGUUGAUUCAUCUUUGGCUAUGAAAAGCUAUCUUUGGGGCACAACUUGUUGAGAUCCAUAAAGUCUAUGCACAAUAUCCCCUUGCCAUUCGCCUUCUUUACCAAGACCAUAUUAGAAAUUCAAAUUGGGUAAUUCACCUUCUUGAUGAAACCAACUAAUAGAAGCUUGUUACCUUCAAUAUACAAGUACCAGAGCAAUCUCAUGUUGAUAAUAUAUUAUAACUGUGGAAAAAUGGGCAGGACGUAUUUGAUAAUUGAUGUAAAUAAUAAAGAUUAGAUUAAGUAUGAGAAGCUAAAUGAUAUAAGCUAGAAAAUAUUAUUACUAAUCUAGGAUUGAAAGUGAGUACAAAUGAAGCUAACCCAUGAAUUAUAAUGAUGGGCAGCCAAUUAAAUGUUGCCACCAUUUAAGUCACAAAUGUGUGGCUGUUCUUUCAUGUAAAUCUUAUCCAAAUUACUUGCUAUUUACUUGACUAACUAAGCGGUUUCAACAAGCCUGAUAGUGAGAUAAGCGUGGAGCAUGUGAUGUAAACCACAAGCAUCACAAGAAAU